AGGAAAGCAGGGGAUCGUAAGACCUUGCGUUAAUGGAGCGGCCGAUAUCUGAUUAGCUAGUUGGUGGGGUAAAGGCCCACCAAGGCUUUGAUCAGUAGCUGGUCUGAGAGGACGACCAGCCACACUGGAACUGAGACACGGUCCAGACUCCUACGGGAGGCAGCAGUGGGGAAUUUUGGACAAUGGGCGCAAGCCUGAUCCAGCCAUUCCGCGUGAGUGAAGAAGGCCUUCGGGUUGUAAAGCUCUUUCGCAAGGGAAGGAAACUUAUCUAAUAACACUAGGUGAGGCUGACGGUACCUUGAUAAGAAGCACCGGCUAACUACGUGCCAGCAGCCGCGGUAAUACGUAGGGUGCGAGCGUUAAUCGGAAUUACUGGGCGUAAAGCGUGCGCAGGCGGUUCUGUAAGUCAGAUGUGAAUCCCCGGGCUCAACCUGGGAACUGCGUUGAAACUACAAAGCU
This 459-nucleotide ribosomal RNA is filed under the name uncultured beta proteobacterium. RNAcentral describes it as "bacterial SSU rRNA". It matches the Rfam family "Bacterial small subunit ribosomal RNA", at positions 200 to 642 of the family's 1533-position model. The record is from RNAcentral. Lineage: Bacteria; Pseudomonadati; Pseudomonadota; Betaproteobacteria.